GGCCGAGGUGGAGGUGUGCUCGGCCUUUAUCCUCAUCCCCUAUGCAGUUCCAGUCUCGAGCCUCAAACUCUAGACGCCGCCCAGGAGAGGAGGCAAAGGUGAUUCCAAGGACGACAGCGGCAUGCCCGGUCGCGGCGGCGACCUCCUCUACCCCAGCAUCAACACCAGCCGGCCGACCUCGAGCAGCACGGCGGCAGAGCCGGUCUCCUUCUCCACCUCGACCCCAAACCUAACCACGACUCCGAGCGCCCCGGCCUCAACAUCUUCCUCUACCCCGACCCCAACUCUGAGUGUGGUGAGUCUGGAUCCGCCCAGAUCCAGGACUGUGAGGCCACAUCCCCUCUCACUCUUGUAGUUUUGAUUGAUUUUUCUUUAGAUACGCAAGUUGUGUGCAGCGGCAUUUCUAAAGCAUCCAAAGACUCCUAAUGUCCUACAAGUGCACCUGCCAUUUACUUAUCAAUUUGUAUAUUCUGAACAUAUGAUGAAAAGAAUUUGCAUGGGCUAGCCAGAAUUUCUUCGCAGGUAGUCUUAUCAGAUGGUUCUUAGCCUUUUUGUAUAGAAUGGAAUAGGCACCAACUCUGCUUCUGGAUCUUCUAUGUUACUGUGUGAUCUAAUUUUAGAUAACUUGAUCUGGACUUUUUGAGGAAGCAAGUCUGGACCAGAACCAUGAUAUGUCUCUUUUGGAAGAAGUUGGUUCCUCUGCAUAAAUUCUCUCUUGCUUCACAUAUCAUGGGGCAUGGUAUAAAUUUCACUCCUGCGUUCAGUUAGUUUAUAAUAGGUAUGUUCACCAGGGCAAAGGAAUGCUUCAGCGCCACCAGUUGCUCAAUGAGUUUGAAGCCUUGUUUGAGUCUGACAAGGAGAGAUAUGCAAAUUUUGAAGACAUUCUCCGUGCUGCCAAGGAAGCAAUUGUGCUGCCCCAUGGGUUUCCCUGGACAUCAGGCCUAGGCGUGGUGUCUGGGACUAUGUACGGGUGAAUGUUAGCGAGUUGCCAAGUUUGUGCUUGAGCUUGAUUUUGAGCCUUUCAAUGCCUCCUUCCCACGUCCUUCCAUGACCCAUUGGAAAUGGGGUGCAGUUCCUUAACCGUCACCUAUCUACCAACCUGUUCCAGGACAGGGAGAGCCUCUACCCACUACUGAACUUCCUGAAAGCCCAUAACCACAA
Lolium rigidum is the source of this 1161-nucleotide long non-coding RNA. RefSeq lists it as uncharacterized. The transcript is spliced from 3 exons. Lineage: Eukaryota; Viridiplantae; Streptophyta; Magnoliopsida; Poales; Poaceae. The record is from RefSeq and is a predicted model, not a curated record.